CCCUUAGAUGUUCUGGGCCGCACGCGCGCUACACUGAUGCAUUCAACGAGUCCAACCUUGACCGAGAGGUCCGGGUAAUCUUUGAAACUGCAUCGUGAUGGGGCUAGAUUAUUGCAAUUAUUAAUCUUCAACGAGGAAUGCCUAGUAAGCGUGAUUCAUCAAAUCGCGUUGAUUACGUCCCUGCCCUUUGUACACACCGCCCGUCGCUCCUACCGAUUGAGUGUGUUGGUGAGGAGUUUGGAUUGGCCUCGGAAGGUGGUUCGCCACCGUCCGUAGCUGAGAAGUUCUUCAAACCGCCCCACUUAGAGGAAGGAGAAGUCGUAACA
This 326-nucleotide ribosomal RNA is filed under the name uncultured eukaryote. RNAcentral describes it as "partial 18S ribosomal RNA". It matches the Rfam family "Eukaryotic small subunit ribosomal RNA", at positions 1470 to 1796 of the family's 1831-position model. The record is from RNAcentral.